AUGGUUGAAGAAAAGAAACGACAGCGGGAGGAAAAUAAGCUCAUGAAAGAAGCUAUUAAAGCUCAAAAGGCAGAGCAGAAGAAAUAUGCAAAAGAAAAAGACGAGUGGGAAUCAGGAAAACAUGCUUUAAAAUCUAUUGUGGCUGAGAUCGACUCAACAAUCAUUGAAACUGGCUCAGUUGGAGGUACCCUUCUAACAAGGUUUGCGGAGAAGGGCCUUAAGUAUCGAGUUCAGGCUAAUCCAAUCAAGGGAUCGAUUUUGUGGAAGAUGGAGGUUCCUCAAAUUGGCCAGGACCCAGCUUCAGUGGCAGAAGUACCGUAUAUUCUAUUUGUGCUUCAAGCUGAGGAAUUCUGCGAUCUUAUCAGCAGUGGGUUCUUCUGGGAUCAUGUUCGCCUUGUUCAAGAUCGCUAUCCAACAUUCACUGUUUGCUACGUCACUAAUAAAUUGAUGAACUACAUAAAUAAAUGCGAGCGGGCUCAGUAUAGGAAUGCACCCAAUGUUAAUAGCUGGAAACGCCCACCAGUGGAAGAGGUUUUAUGCAAGUUAGCAACACACCAUGUUAAAGUUCACUCAAGGCAAUGCACAGAUGAAGCUGAAGUAGCCGAGCAUGUUGUUGGCUUGACAUCUAGUCUUGCAAAUUGCAGAUUCAGGAAACCACUGUCAUGGUUAUCUGUCCAUGCUAAUGGUGCAGUGAUCCCUAAAAAUUUCAUUGAUAAAGAUCUGGCUAAGAAAGAUACCUGGAUGAAGGCUCUAAUAGCUAUCCCUAAAGUCCAGCCAAGGUUUGCCCUGGCAAUCUGGAAGAAGUACAGUACCAUGAGAUCCCUUCUGAAAGUAUAUAUGGAUUCCACCAAAACUGUUCGCGAGAAGGAGCUUCUGCUGCAGGACCUGAUGUGCGAGGACCGCGUAGGCGAGGAAAGCCGAAGGCUGGGACCAGUAUGCUCUAGAAGGGUUUACAGGACUCUCAUGGCAGAAGAUGGAGCAGUGGAAGCGGAUGCUGCUGCCGAGUAA
This 1008-nucleotide ribosomal RNA is filed under the name Triticum aestivum (bread wheat). Its description in RNAcentral is "partial small subunit ribosomal RNA". The record is from RNAcentral. Lineage: Eukaryota; Viridiplantae; Streptophyta; Magnoliopsida; Poales; Poaceae.